AAUCAACGCUGGCGGCGUGCCUAACACAUGCAAGUCGCACGAGAAAGGGACUUCGGUCCUGAGUACAGUGGCGCACGGGUGAGUAACACGUGAAUAAUCUACCUUCGAGUGGGGAAUAACUGAGAGAAAUCUCAGCUAAUACCGCAUAAUACCCACGGGUCAAAGCAGCAAUGCGCUUGAAGAGGAGUUCGCGGCAGAUUAGUUAGUUGGCAGGGUAAUGGCCUACCAAGACGAUGAUCUGUAUCCGGCCUGAGAGGGCGCACGGACACACUGGAACUGAAACACGGUUCAGACUCCUACGGGAGGCAGCAGUGGGGAAUUUUGCGCAAUGGGGGAAACCCUGACGCAGCAACGCCGCGUGGAGGAUGAAAUCCCUUGGGAUGUAAACUCCUUUCGAUCGGGAAGAUAAUGACGGUACCGAGAGAAGAAGCCCCGGCUAACUUCGUGCCAGCAGCCGCAGU
Molecule: ribosomal RNA, 461 nt
Filed under: uncultured bacterium
Lineage: Bacteria
Description: bacterial SSU rRNA
Rfam family: Bacterial small subunit ribosomal RNA
Source: RNAcentral